GCCAAUUGUUAAUACGUCUUAUUUCCAGUUGGGAAACUUGCCACAUGUCUGCAAUGUAACAAAACUUACAAAUAUCAAACGUCCUUGUACAAUCAUCAAAAAUACGAAUGUGGGAAAAUGAAAUCCUUCAGCUGUUCCAAAUGUGGCAAGGCCUAUUGGCACAAGCAGACUCUCAAGAACCAUUUGAAACUCAAUCGCUGCAAACCUAUCAAUACAUUUGAUGUGAUUCAAAGCAACUUAUUGGAAGGUUUUGAUUUGUUUCAGUAGUCGGUCAGGUGAAAAACUGUAUACUUGUUUGGUGAAUUAAAAAAACACGACAAACUAAUAUAUCCUGCCAUGAUUGUGGAAGAUCCUACAGUUGGAAAGGCACGCUAACAAGACACAUGAAAUACGAAUGCGGAAAUAAACAAAAAUUCCAUUGCCUUUAUUGUGACAAAUUUACGAAACAAAAAUAUAAUUUGAUGCUGCAUGUUAGACACGCUCAUCCAGAAUACCUAGCUUAAUUUGAAAAAUGGUACUAUAAAUAUCCCCGACAGAAAUAAGGGUUAAUGUAUUUUUUACAUUAAAUUUUCUUUUUACUAA
Long non-coding RNA from Leptinotarsa decemlineata (Colorado potato beetle), 582 nucleotides. The record is from RefSeq and is a predicted model, not a curated record. Lineage: Eukaryota; Metazoa; Arthropoda; Insecta; Coleoptera; Chrysomelidae.